CCGCCCUUCCGUUCCCUCUCCGAUGGCCCCUCCGAUGCGCAGCAGGUCCUCUGGUUGAACUUGUCCAUAGCAUCAUCCAUCCUACCCUACCCUUCAACGGCGGUUGCCGACGCCCCACGGCGGGUAGGAUGGCUGGUGCUAUGGGUAGCUUCACCCCGAUGGUUGUGAGUGACGUACCUCGUCCGUAGGAAUAAGCCUCUUUUAUCGUCGCCGCUGCGGAAAUCAAGGCGCGCAGAAGUAGGGAGCCAAUCCUCUGGUUGAAUUUGUCCAUAGCAUCAGCCAGUCCUCUGCUUUUUUUGCACGAUGGGUACUACGAUGGCUGGUGCUAUGGAUAAAUUCAACCCGAUGGUUGUGACAUACCCGAUCUGAAGAGGAAACUUUGCUCAACUUUGAAUGAGCCCGCAAUCAGGUUGAAGCAGGGACGGAUGGUUGUUGCCAUGGACGAAUUCCACCGGAUGACACAUAUUCGACUACCACUUUAAACAGUUUCCUUUAGUUGCCUGAUGAUUCAUGGUUGUUGUAUUCAUGCUGACUCUGGUUUUAAUCUGCCUUACUUUAACUGAAUAUUCUAUUAUCUGGAAAAAGAUAGUGAAAAUCUAGAUCUAAUUAACCCUGCCUUGUUUUUGCAGUUCUGAGAUGCAUGCAUGUUUCUAAGGACCAAGAUCUGGAAAUUGCUAAGGAAUGAGUAAUCUAACUGUUUUCAUGCGAUUCAAGACCUCGCUGGUGUUUGUUUAAGUUAUACAGUUUCCUACAUAUAUUGGUUGUCUUCCAGGUUCAGUUUGCUGUGGCGAAUUCUGCUUGAAUUUGUUGCAGCAAACUUGUGGUCAUGUAUAUUUUCUUUAGUUUUGUAUUCAUGCCUAGAAGGUUAGAAAGCUUGUUCAUGUAUUGUUCUGAACUAAAAGUUGAAGUGGCUUUUCCACCCAUGUUAUUGUGGUGGUCAUAAUAGCGCGCCUCACAAUUAUUGAGGGCCAGAUCUACAAAUAUUGUUUCUAAAUACAAACGCCCACUCUGUUUCCCCUGGGUAUUAAUCUAUGCACAAAUUGCUCUUCCGUGCUUGAUGACAAAUAAAGGUUGCAUCUUGGAUGUUUGCUUGAUUUGCAUGAGCCAUUUUGCUAUCAGCUAAACCGUUAAAAGUCAGAUGUAAGAUAUGUUUCUUGGCACAUGUGGUAUUUUUCCGUCAGCGCACCAUUGAAGUCUGAAGAUGCACUGUUUUCUUUGAAACUGAAGCACCGUGGUUGAAUUUUAGUUUCAUUUGGACAAGUUACCCCAAGUAUCAUCAAUUCAUGAUGACUAGUUUGGUGUGGUGAAUUGGUCUUGGUCCUGAUUUAAGAGUUUUUUAAUGCUACUGUGUUGUAAGGGAGAAAUGUUAGGUAUCUAUAUGGCUAUUGUUUUAGCUCUUGUUUGCAAUAUACUUGCUCUGCACCGAAAUACUUGGUUGGGGGAAACUAGUACAAGUUCCCCCAUCUACAAGUAUUUUGGUACAGAGGGAGUAUGACAUGCUGAUUGUUUUUAUCUCUUGGUGCCUGAUGCAUAUGUUUGUUUACUCGGUUUGUACUCUGAAUGAUAUGUUUGGUUCUGCUGGUAUUUUGAGGAGGCAGGCUGUGGUUAUUCUCCUGGCCCUGAGAAGGGUGAAUCAGGCCAUCUAACCUGCUCACCACCGGAGCGCCUUCAGGAACAUCGAGUCAGGGUGCUUUGCUUUCUAUUUGAAUCUGUGCGGUAAUGAAGGCAAAAAAAGAAGUUUCUACUCGCUCUGUUCUUGCAACUAAAUCAGAGUAAAGCCAUACUUACUGAAGCAUUACGGUUAAUAUCAUCCUACUAGGAAUAUGAGUAAUAUUAUCUAUUUGGUACGUCAGCACCCUGGUUUUGGUUGAUGAUUGUAACCUGUAAAAUAAAUAUAGAAAAGCAUACUUGCUUAAAAAAUUAUGCUUGAGGCAGAUGUGCAGGUGUUAAAAUCAAUGCUUUUUGUGUGGAGGAUGUAGUUUAUGUAACCAUUGAUUAAUUUGUUUCCUGAUGGUGCUGUAGGUUAUGGAAUGAGUUUGAUGUGCUCAAUCUGUUCCGUAGUUGGUAUUUAUAUGUGUGUGUGUGUGUGUGUGUGUGUGUGCGCCCCUGUGUGUGUUUCAGCAGUUAAGCAGUAUUGUUUUGGCUAUCCUUUUCAUCAAUCAACUCAAGUGAUUGAUUUUUGUUUCCAGGUCAGAAGAUUUUGUGCCUCGGAAAAGGUAGAAUGUCUAUUCCAUGUGGAAAAGAAAAACUGCGAACAAAAGCCAAAGGAACUUGUUACACGACCAAGCAUCCCACCCAUGCAGGGAUGUUUUUCCCAUUAGCCUCGAGCGGAUCGACCAUGAAUUCGACCAGAUCAUGUGUAUGAAUACAGAUGGAUCCGCAGCUUUAGCUACGAUGUGUAUGUUUUGACUGCAUUUCUGAAAUGGUUGAUUUCCUUGAGCAGGGGAAGUCUCUCACUGCUGCUGGAGAUUGGGAUGCGACGCGUCCUCCGACAUGUCUCUAGGAUCCGAGCCUGCUUGCUGCUCUUUGAUCUUCAACCGUUCCGUCUUCCAUCUUCGAUAGCUUAGUUUUCUGUUGUCCUGGGCCAUGAUGUUGCGCCCCAAUGCCGUAUUGCUGUAAUGGAUCAUUCUUACUGAAUUGUUUGGAGUUCCGUUUCAAUGUGUAUGGCGGCUAUGCCAUUUAUUCGGCUUUAUUUAUAAAUAAAGGUGGGCUUCGGCCUUUUUCUCUA
Long non-coding RNA from Triticum aestivum (bread wheat), 2728 nucleotides. RefSeq lists it as uncharacterized. The record is from RefSeq and is a predicted model, not a curated record. Lineage: Eukaryota; Viridiplantae; Streptophyta; Magnoliopsida; Poales; Poaceae. The transcript has 2 exons.